Molecule: long non-coding RNA, 1086 nt
Organism: Anguilla rostrata (American eel)
Lineage: Eukaryota; Metazoa; Chordata; Actinopteri; Anguilliformes; Anguillidae
Exons: 3
Source: RefSeq, a predicted model, not a curated record
CCAGACAGUUUAACGAGUAGGUGCGUACCCGUCCGCCUUUAAAUAAGUCACAUGGUCUAGCCGUUUCUGGGAAGGCCUUGCUUCAGCACCCCGGUUUGCUGCAUGCUCCUCUGUCCACACGUCGCGAGCGAGUUUGUUUUGACUGCCACGUCACGGAAAUCUAGGCCCGUCCCCGCGGCAGAUCUCGAGAGAGUCAUUCUUCCGGCUCGUCUCAGGGCUGCUGUGGUAAGGGUCUCAGUAUUUACCAAAAAAAAAAAAAGAACGAACAACAGUUUGCAAACCGUGUGUCCGCGAGGGAAAAAAACCCCCGUCACAGGCGGUGUGCGGGGUUUCGGGUCCUCCAGCAUCCCGUAAGACCCCGGUGAACCGCCCGCCCCCCUCGUCCUCCCGCCCCUCAGAGUCGCUCCCAUCCAUCAGGGCUAUUUCCAGAUGGGAGCGUCGGAAAAUAAAUAUUUAACAGCGGCUGGGGCUCGGUGCCACCCUGUUGCCGCUGCGUGCGCGGCUGCCGCCUACAUGCUGAGGUGCGGGAAACGGGCACUGUGCCAGUCCUAGUGAGUCUCGGGUCCCCGAAGCCUCUCUUUCUCGGGCUCUGUCUCUCGUCUCUGCUUCACGGCGUCACGGCUGAGGAUGAAUCAGCCCUGAAAAUUGGCACGGUGAUUUACGAGCGCUGUCAGGGAGCCUGCAUGAUUCAGAGCGAGGAGUGGGCUCUGUCCAGAUAGUCGCUCCCUUUCAAGCUCAUUCAUAAAAAGGAAGGGAAUUUAGCAGUGCCAUCCUGAUUCUCAGGCAGUCUGUGCGUGCGUGUGCACGUGAGUCUUGGCGUGUAACUGUGGGUGUGCGUGUCUGUUUGUGCAUGUGCACAUCCCUGUGCACUGUGUGUAUUUGUAUGUGUGCGCAUGAAGUUGUGUAUGCAUGCAUUUCUGCAUGGGGUUGUGUUUGCAUGUGUUUGUGCAUGAGUUUGAGCUUGCAUGUGUUGUGCAUGAGUUUGAGCUUGCAUGUGUUUCUGCGUGAGCUUGUGCUUGCAUGUGUUUGUGCAUGGGAUUGUGCUUGCAUGUGUUUCUGGGUGAGCUCGUGCUUGCAUGUGUUUGU